GUGGGGAAUAUUGGACAAUGGGCGAAAGCCUGAUCCAGCCAUGCCGCGUGUGUGAAGAAGGUCUUCGGAUUGUAAAGCACUUUAAGUUGGGAGGAAGGGCAGUAAGUUAAUACCUUGCUGUUUUGACGUUACCGACAGAAUAAGCACCGGCUAACUUCGUGCCAGCAGCCGCGGUAAUACGAAGGGUGCAAGCGUUAAUCGGAAUUACUGGGCGUAAAGUGCGCGUAGGUGGUUUUGUAAGUUGGAGGUGAAAUCCCCGGGCUCAACCUGGGAACUGCCUCCAAAACUGCAUGACUAGAGUACGGUAGAGGGUAGUGGAAUUUCCUGUGUAGCGGUGAAAUGCGUAGAUAUAGGAAGGAACACCAGUGGCGAAGGCGACUACCUGGACUGAUACUGACACUGAGGUGCGAAAGCGUGGGGAGCAAACAGGAUUAGAAACCCUGGUAGUCC
This 450-nucleotide ribosomal RNA is filed under the name uncultured bacterium. RNAcentral describes it as "partial 16S ribosomal RNA". It matches the Rfam family "Bacterial small subunit ribosomal RNA", at positions 354 to 796 of the family's 1533-position model. The record is from RNAcentral.